Molecule: non-coding RNA, 22 nt
Filed under: Arabidopsis thaliana (thale cress)
Lineage: Eukaryota; Viridiplantae; Streptophyta; Magnoliopsida; Brassicales; Brassicaceae
Source: RNAcentral
CCGCCGAAGCGAGCCUUGGGAC